AACCUAGCACACCUGCGGUGUGUACCUGCGGAGGGAUCAUUACCUAGAGUUGUAGGCUUUGCCUGCUAUCUCUUACCCAUGUCUUUUGAGUACCUUACGUUUCCUCGGUGGGCUCGCCCACCGAUUGGACAAAUUUAAACCCUUUGCAGUUGAAAUCAGCGUCUGAAAAAACUUAAUAGUUACAACUUUUAGCAACGGAUCU
Molecule: unclassified non-coding RNA, 202 nt
Filed under: soil metagenome
Description: partial contains 5.8S ribosomal RNA, internal transcribed spacer 2, and large subunit ribosomal RNA
Source: RNAcentral